ACAGAGGGCGCGAGCGUUGUCCGGAAUCACUGGGCGUAAAGGGCGCGUAGGUGGCCACGAUAAGGCCGCGGUGAAAGUCUGGGGCUCAACCCCAGAUCGGCCGCGGCGACUGUCGGGCUGGGGCACUGUAGAGGCAGAUGGAAUUCCGGGUGUAGCGGUGGAAUGCGUAGAGAUCCGGAAGAACACCAGUGGCGAAGGCGGUCUGCUGGGCAGUGGGAGCUUCGGCUCUCUUUAGCCGACACUGAGGCGCGACAGCGUGGGGAGCAAACAGGA
Molecule: ribosomal RNA, 273 nt
Filed under: uncultured prokaryote
Description: partial 16S ribosomal RNA
Rfam family: Bacterial small subunit ribosomal RNA
Source: RNAcentral